Molecule: ribosomal RNA, 387 nt
Filed under: uncultured bacterium
Lineage: Bacteria
Description: bacterial SSU rRNA
Rfam family: Bacterial small subunit ribosomal RNA
Source: RNAcentral
AUUGAACGCUGGCGGCAUGCCUUACACAUGCAAGUCGAACGGUAACGCGGGGCAACCUGGCGACGAGUGGCGAACGGGUGAGUAAUGCAUCGGAACGUGCCCAGUAGUGGGGGAUAGCCCGGCGAAAGCCGGAUUAAUACCGCAUACGACCUACGGGUGAAAGCGGGGGACUCGCAAGAGCCUCGCGCUAUUGGAGCGGCCGAUGUCAGAUUAGGUAGUUGGUGGGGGUAAAAGCCUACCAAGCCGACGAUCUGUAGCUGGUCUGAGAGGACGACCAGCCACACUGGGACUGAGACACGGCCCAGACUCCUACGGGAGGCAGCAGUGGGGAAUUUUGGACAAUGGGCGCAAGCCUGAUCCAGCCAUGCCGCGUGCGGGAAGAAGGCC